GCCGGACCUGACUGCUAUCGGAUUGAUACUAAGCCAUGCGAGUCUUUGUAGUAAUACAAGGCAUACGGCUCAGUAACGCGUAGUCAACCUACCCUAUGGACAAGAAUAAUCUCGGGAAACUGAGCAUAAUUCUUGAUAGAUCAUAAUGCCUGGAAUGGUUUAUGGUUAAAAUGAUUCGUCGCCAUAGGAUGGGACUGCGGCCUAUCAGCUUGUUGGUGAGGUAAUGGCCCACCAAGGCGAUUACAGGUACGGGCUCUGAGAGGAGAAGCCCGGAGAUGGGUACUGAGACAAGGACCCAGGCCCUAUGGGGCGCAGCAGGCGAGAAAACUUUGCAAUGUGCGAAAGCACGACAAGGUUAGUCCGAGUGAUUUCUGCUAAAGAGAUCUUUUGCUAGUUAUAAAACCACUAGUGAAUAAGGGGUGGGCAAGUUCUGGUGUCAGCCGCCGCGGUAAAACCAGCACCUCAAGUGGUCAGGAUGAUUAUUGGGCCUAAAGCAUCCGUAGCCGGCUCUGUAAGUUUUCGGUUAAAUCUAUGCGCUCAACGUAUGGGCUGCCGAAAAUACUGUAGAGAUAGGGAGUGGGAGAGGUAGACGGUACUCGGUAGGAAGGGGUAAAAUCCUUUGAUCUAUCGAUGACCACCUGUGGCGAAGGCAGUCUACCAGAACACGUUCGACGGUGAGGGAUGAAAGCUGGGGGAGCAAACCGGAUUAGAUACCCGGGUAGUCCCAGCUGUAAACGAUGCAGACUCGAUGAUGCAUUGGCAUAUAGCCAGUGCAGUGUCGCAGGGAAGCCGUUAAGUCUGCCGCCUGGGAAGUACGUACGCAAGUAUGAAACUUAAAGGAAUUGGCGGGGGAGCACCACAAGGGGUGAAGCCUGCGGUUCAAUUGGAGUCAACGCCGGGG
This 901-nucleotide ribosomal RNA is filed under the name uncultured archaeon. RNAcentral's name for it is "bacterial SSU rRNA". It matches the Rfam family "Archaeal small subunit ribosomal RNA", at positions 16 to 923 of the family's 1478-position model. The record is from RNAcentral.